This 374-nucleotide ribosomal RNA is filed under the name uncultured organism. RNAcentral describes it as "partial 16S ribosomal RNA". It matches the Rfam family "Bacterial small subunit ribosomal RNA", at positions 527 to 896 of the family's 1533-position model. The record is from RNAcentral.
GUAGGUGGCAAGCGUUGUCCGGAAUUAUUGGGCGUAAAGCGCGCGCAGGCGGUCCUUUAAGUCUGAUGUGAAAGCCCACGGCUCAACCGUGGAGGGUCAUUGGAAACUGGGGGACUUGAGUACAGAAGAGGAAAGCGGAAUUCCAAGUGUAGCGGUGAAAUGCGUAGAGACUUGGAGGAACACCAGUGGCGAAGGCGGCUUUCUGGUCUGUAACUGACGCUGAGGCGCGAAAGCGUGGGGAGCAAACCGGGAUUAGAUACCCUGGUAGUCCACGCCGUAAACGAUGAGUGCUAAGUGUUAGGGGGUUUCCCGCCCCCUUAGUGCUGCAGCUAACGCAUUAAGCACUCCGCCUGGGGAGUACGGCCGCAAGGCUG